UAGAUGAUGCAUUUCCAAU
RNAcentral lists this small RNA (19 nucleotides) under Arabidopsis thaliana (thale cress). RNAcentral describes it as "ATSL003790". Lineage: Eukaryota; Viridiplantae; Streptophyta; Magnoliopsida; Brassicales; Brassicaceae. The record is from RNAcentral.